Paramormyrops kingsleyae is the source of this 473-nucleotide non-coding RNA. Lineage: Eukaryota; Metazoa; Chordata; Actinopteri; Osteoglossiformes; Mormyridae. The record is from RefSeq and is a predicted model, not a curated record.
AGAAACCACACAUCGCACUUCCGAAAUUGCUAAGUCCAGAAAGUUAGUGUAAUGAAACAUAUCUGUCAAUGAUUUAUUCAUGAUAUGCAAAUAUAUUCAUAGACUUUGGUCAUGUGAGUCGGUGGUUCAGUAUAAAAGUCUCUGUAAUAUUUUACGAGCUCACAAACACAUUGGAAAGCUGUUUAGACGUGCAUCUGGCAAGCAUAACUUUUAGAAGCAUUAUUUGGAUAAUCAUCACCAUGGCAGAAAGGACUGACAAAACCAGCGAUGAAACUGCGUCAGCUGAGAACACGAAAAAUGAAGAGGCUGAACUACUGGAAGAAAAAUUGAAAUUAAUCCUGGCUGAUGUUGAAGUCUGGAAUGAAAAAUUCAAUGAGUUCACUAUCUCCAUGCCUGUGCGAGACAAUCUUCUCCUGCUAGAUAUGUUGAAUGAGAUGAAGAUGACCUUAAACAAUAUGUGUACAUUAGUGAAG